RNAcentral lists this ribosomal RNA (2048 nucleotides) under human gut metagenome. Its description in RNAcentral is "bacterial LSU rRNA". It matches the Rfam family "Bacterial large subunit ribosomal RNA", at positions 1 to 1991 of the family's 2925-position model. The record is from RNAcentral.
GCAAGAUACCACGGGCGCACGGCGGAUGCCUUGGCACAGGGAGCCGAUGAAGGACGCGGCAAGCUGCGAUAAUCCCCGGCGAGGAGCACACAUCCUUCGACCCGGGGGUCUCCGAAUGGGCGAACCCAUGCACAGCAGUGUGCAUAUCCCCACCCCGAACGCAUAGGGGCGGGGAGGACAACCCGGGGAACUGAAACAUCUAAGUACCCGGAGGAGAGGAAAUCAAUCUCGAGACUCCCCGAGUAGCGGCGAGCGAAAGGGGACCGAUGGCCAAACCGUCGAGCGGGCAUACCCGGCAGGGGUUCCGCCGGCGGGGUUGCAGGGCCGCGCAUCCGGGGGCUGCCGCCCCCGGGCGCAGGUCCGGCUGGGGAGCGGAACGGCAUGGGAGGGCCGGCCGCAGCGGGUGACAGCCCCGUACGCGAACCCAGACCGGACGGCGCGACGCGGUCCCUGAGUAGGGCCGGGCACGUGAAACCCGGUCCGAACCUGGGUGGACCACCAUCCAAGCCUGAGUACUACCCUGUGACCGAUAGCGCACCAGUACCGUGAGGGAAAGGUGAAAAGCACCCCGGGAGGGGAGUGAAACAGUACCUGAAACCGUGCGCCCACGAGCAGUCGGAGCACCUAUAUGGUGUGACGGCGUGCCUUUUGUAGAAUGAGCCAGCGAGUCGCUGGCGCGGGGCGAGGUUAACCGGAAGGGAGCCGAAGCGAAAGCGAGCCUUAACAGGGCGACUUGAGUCCCGCGCCGCGGACGCGAAGCCGGGUGAGCUAUCCGUGGGCAGGCUGAAGCGGGGGUAAGACCCCGUGGAGGGCCGAACGCACGUCGGUUGAAAACGGCGGCGAUGACCUGCGGAUAGGGGUGAAAGGCCAAUCAAACCCGGAGAUAUCUCGUUCUCCCCGAAAUAGCUUUAGGGCUAGCGUCGCGCGUUCACCGCCGGAGGUAGAGCACCGGAUGGACGAGGGGGCUUCGCCGCCUACCGAAUCCAACCGAACUCCGAAUGCCGGCGGCCCAGAGCGCGGCAGUCAGAGCAUGUGGGCUAAGCUGUGUGCUCGAGAGGGAAACAGCCCGGACCGCCCGCUAAGGUCCCCAAGUUCCAGCCGAGUGGCAAAGGAUGUGCGUCCGCCCAGACAACCAGGAUGUUGGCUUAGAAGCAGCCAUGCAUUCAAAGAGUGCGUAACAGCUCACUGGUCGAGUGGACAUGCGCCGACAAUACACGGGGCUAAGCUGGACACCGAAGCGGCGGGAUUUUAUCUAUAUAGAAUCGGUAGGGGAGCUUCCCAUGGGCGGGGAAGCCGCCGGGCGACCGGCGGUGGAGCGCAUGGGAGUGAGAAUGCUGGCAUGAGUAGCGAGAGACGAGAGAGUAACUCGUCCGCCGUGAACCCGAGGUUUCCUGGGCAAGGCUAAUCCUCCCAGGGUCAGUCGGGGGCUAAGGCGAGGCCGGGAGGCGUAGCCGACGCGCAGCAGGCAGACAUUCCUGCACCGCGCACGCGGCGCUACGACCGACGGGGCGACGGAUGGGGGUGGCUCGGCGGGGUUCUGGACGUCCCCGUGAUGGAGCGCGGCCCGCGGACCAGGGAAAUCCGGUCCGCACGAGGGCGAGGCUCCGGACGAAGCGAUCGAGCGAAGCGAGUGAGCCCGAGGUCCCUAGAAAAACCCCUAGGCAGGCGCGUGCGCGCCCGUACCGCAAACCGACACAGGUGGGUGGGUAGAACAUACCGAGGCGAUCGGGUCAACCAUGGUCAAGGAACUCGGCACAAUGGCCCCGUAACUUCGGGAGAAGGGGUGCCCGCGCGUACGUGAACGGACUUGCUCCGGGAGCGGAGGCGGGCCGCAGUGGAGAGGCCCAAGCGACUGUUUACCAAAAACACAGGACUCUGCAGAAGCCGCAAGGCGACGUAUAGGGUCUGACGCCUGCCCGGUGCCGGAAGGUCACGCGGAGGAGUUAGCGCAUCGCGCGAAGCCCCGAAGCCAAGCCCCGGUAAACGGCGGCCGUAACUAUAACGGUCCUAAGGUAGCGAAAUUCCUUGUCGGGUAAGUUCCGACCUGC